This 253-nucleotide ribosomal RNA is filed under the name uncultured bacterium. RNAcentral's name for it is "partial 16S ribosomal RNA". It matches the Rfam family "Bacterial small subunit ribosomal RNA", at positions 524 to 776 of the family's 1533-position model. The record is from RNAcentral.
UACGUAGGUGGCAAGCGUUGUCCGGAUUUGUUGGGUUUAAAGGGUGCGUAGGCGGCCUUGUAAGUCAGUGCUGAAAUAUCCCGGCUUAACCGGGAGGGUGGCAUUGAUACUGCAGGGCUUGAGUAAAGUUGAGGUUGGCGGAAUUGACGGUGUAGCGGUGAAAUGCUUAGAUAUCGUCAAGAACACCGAUAGUGAAGACAGCUAACUAAGCUUUAACUGACGCUGAGGCACGAAAGUGUGGGGAUCAAACAGG